This 765-nucleotide long non-coding RNA is filed under the name Citrus sinensis (sweet orange). RNAcentral describes it as "long non-coding RNA (CSIN_LNC005101)". Lineage: Eukaryota; Viridiplantae; Streptophyta; Magnoliopsida; Sapindales; Rutaceae. The record is from RNAcentral.
AGCGCUCUUGUAAAGUCUCUUGUAAACAUUUUGCAAGUAAUACAAUUUUCCUCUUUCGGCUCAAUUGUUCUCUUUCAGAAACCUCCAGGCUUAACUAGUCGAGAAACUCAAAGGCUUACUUAGCAACUUGUGGAAAGAGUUGUCUAAAUACUGUAUGGGUUCGUUGCGCAAAGCACUCAUCCCGUGACUCAAGACUUCCUUUUGUCGAGAUUUCAUAUAAAAAGUUAGUAGCAAUUGGAUAAAUAAUAUUAGCCAGUGGUAACUAACUUUAAAUUAAUUCUCUUCUAUUUUCUUAAAUUUACUCCCAAAACAAACAAAAAACAUACUACUUUAUGAAAUUGUUUGAAAUAACUUUCAACUCCUACUUUAAAUUCUUUUUGUUUUGAUUGAUCACCCAAGGCCAAGUACUAAUGAAAAGGUUGAAAAUGGGAUGAAGGCAAUCAUAAGAGAAGUAAAUAAGUGUCAUGAUCUGACGUACAUUUUGAAACAAUCAGCAGAGUCCUCCAUUGCCAUUACAGACAAGCCACAAAAAUUCUACUGUUUACUGUCAUUUUCAAGCCAUAUUUAAAUUCGUUCAGUGUACAGUGCUUGUAUUUCUUUGAAUUUGUUUUCCUCAUCUACACCUCUAGCAAUGUAAAUCUUCAUUCGCUCAAAAAAAUUAUUGUUGGUAAAGCUUUUUAAUUUGAUUCCACCGGCAGUUUUUCCUUUUCGAACUUCUUUAAAUUGGACAAUAAAUUUUAUCUUUGGUUAAUCAUUGCAUAUCCG